RNAcentral lists this ribosomal RNA (348 nucleotides) under uncultured bacterium. Its description in RNAcentral is "bacterial SSU rRNA". It matches the Rfam family "Bacterial small subunit ribosomal RNA", at positions 73 to 422 of the family's 1533-position model. The record is from RNAcentral.
UAGGUUUUCGGACCUAGAGACCGGCGCACGGGUGCGUAACGCGUAUGCAAUCUACCUUUUACAGAGGGAUAGCCCAGAGAAAUUUGGAUUAAUACCUCAUAGUAUUAUUGAAUGGCAUCAUUUAAUAAUUAAAGUCACAACGGUAAAAGAUGAGCAUGCGUCCCAUUAGCUUGUUGGUAAGGUAACGGCUUACCAAGGCAACGAUGGGUAGGGGUCCUGAGAGGGAGAUCCCCCACACUGGUACUGAGACACGGACCAGACUCCUACGGGAGGCAGCAGUGAGGAAUAUUGGUCAAUGGGCGCAAGCCUGAACCAGCCAUGCCGCGUGCAGGAUGACGGUCCUAUGGA